RNAcentral lists this ribosomal RNA (484 nucleotides) under uncultured bacterium. Its description in RNAcentral is "partial 16S ribosomal RNA". It matches the Rfam family "Bacterial small subunit ribosomal RNA", at positions 30 to 507 of the family's 1533-position model. The record is from RNAcentral.
AUUGAACGCUGGCGGCAGGCCUAACACAUGCAAGUCGAGCGGAUGAAGGGAGCUUGCUCCUGGAUCCAGCGGCGGACGGGUGAGUAAUGCCUAGGAAUCUGCCUGGUAGUGGGGGAUAACGUCCGGAAACGGGCGCUAAUACCGCAUACGUCCUGAGGGAGAAAGUGGGGGAUCUUCGGACCUCACGCUAUCAGAUGAGCCUAGGUCGGAUUAGCUAGUUGGUGGGGUAAAGGCCUACCAAGGCGACGAUCCGUAACUGGUCUGAGAGGAUGAUCAGUCACACUGGAACUGAGACACGGUCCAGACUCCUACGGGAGGCAGCAGUGGGGAAUAUUGGACAAUAGGCGAAAGCCUGAUCCAGCCAUGCCGCGUGUGUGAAGAAGGUCUUCGGAUUGUAAAGCACUUUAAGUUGGGAGGAAGGGCAGUAAGUUAAUACCUUGCUGUUUUGACGUUACCAACAGAAUAAGCACCGGCUAACUUCGUG